CCUACGGGUGGCAGCAGUGAGGAAUAUUGGUCAAUGGUCGGGAGACUGAACCAGCCAAGCCGCGUGAGGGAGGAAGGUACAGAGUAUCGUAAACCUCUUUUGUCAGGGAACAAAGGCGGGGACGUGUCCCCGGAUGAGUGUACCUGAAGAAAAAGCAUCGGCUAACUCCGUGCCAGCAGCCGCGGUAAUACGGAGGAUGCGAGCGUUAUCCGGAUUUCUUGGGGUUAAAGGGUGCGCAGGCGGUCUGUUAAGUCAGCGGUCAAAGCCCGGGGCUCAACCCCGGCCCGCCGUUGAAACUGGCAGUCUCGAGUUGGAGAGAAGUAUGCGGAAUGCGCGGUGUAGCGGUGAAAUGCGUAGAGAUCGGGAGGAACACCAGUGGCGAAGGCGGCCUACUGGGCUCUAACUGACGCUGAGGCACGAAAGCGUGGGUAGCAAACAGGAUUAGAUACCCGAGUAGUC
This 459-nucleotide ribosomal RNA is filed under the name uncultured bacterium. RNAcentral's name for it is "partial 16S ribosomal RNA". It matches the Rfam family "Bacterial small subunit ribosomal RNA", at positions 338 to 795 of the family's 1533-position model. The record is from RNAcentral.